UCCGGUUUGUCACCGGCAGUCUCCUAUGAGUCCCCAACUUAAUGCUGGCAACAUAGGACAGGGGUUGCGCUCGUUGCGGGACUUAACCCAACAUCUCACGACACGAGCUGACGACGGCCAUGCAGCACCUGUGCACGGGCUCCGAAGAGCCCCGCAGGUUUCCCCACGAGUUCCCGUGCAUGUCAAGCCCAGGUAAGGUUCUUCGCGUUGCGUCGAAUUAAACCACAUGCUCCACCGCUUGUGCAGGCCCCCGUCAAUUUCUUUGAGUUUUAGCCUUGCGGCCGUACUCCCCAGGCGGAUGACUUAAUGCGUUAGCUGCGCCACCGAAAGCCCAUGGCCCCCGACAGCUAGUCAUCAUCGUUUACGGCGUGGACUAC
RNAcentral lists this unclassified non-coding RNA (377 nucleotides) under uncultured bacterium. RNAcentral describes it as "contains 16S-23S intergenic spacer region". The record is from RNAcentral.